UGUUAAUCUGAUGCUUCAUUCACCACAGUGGAGCUGCCUCUACCAUUGAAUGCGAAGACAGCUGUUUCACUCAAGACCAAAAGAUUGACUGGAGAGAUCUGUUAUCAAGAAACUGACUUGACCACAAGAACAAUUUACAGGUGGUAAACAUGAUCGCCUUAUUUAUAACAAGUGUAAGCCAUACUCAAACUACUUUUUUGGUGUGUUUUUUAAAGAAAGAUACUAAAACAGAAAGGAGCUUGGAACUAUUGCCACCCUUGCCCUCCAUGUUCCUAGAAGCAUGA
RNAcentral lists this long non-coding RNA (284 nucleotides) under Sus scrofa (pig). Its description in RNAcentral is "lncRNA (ENSSSCG00035044060.1)". Lineage: Eukaryota; Metazoa; Chordata; Mammalia; Artiodactyla; Suidae. The record is from RNAcentral.